RNAcentral lists this ribosomal RNA (273 nucleotides) under uncultured bacterium. RNAcentral describes it as "partial 16S ribosomal RNA". It matches the Rfam family "Bacterial small subunit ribosomal RNA", at positions 524 to 796 of the family's 1533-position model. The record is from RNAcentral.
UACGAAGGGGGCUAGCGUUGCUCGGAAUUACUGGGCGUAAAGGGAGCGUAGGCGGACAGUUUAGUCAGAGGUGAAAGCCCAGGGCUCAACCUUGGAAUUGCCUUUGAUACUGACUGUCUUGAGUAUGGGAGAGGUUAGCGGAACUCCGAGUGUAGAGGUGAAAUUCGUAGAUAUUCGGAAGAACACCAGUGGCGAAGGCGGCUAACUGGCCCAUUACUGACGCUGAGGCUCGAAAGCGUGGGGAGCAAACAGGAUUAGAAACCCCCGUAGUCC